RNAcentral lists this ribosomal RNA (1663 nucleotides) under Globobulimina sp. Its description in RNAcentral is "bacterial LSU rRNA". It matches the Rfam family "Bacterial large subunit ribosomal RNA", at positions 768 to 2487 of the family's 2925-position model. Lineage: Eukaryota; Foraminifera; Rotaliida; Buliminidae. The record is from RNAcentral.
GGAGGACCGAACCCACUAACGUUGAAAAGUUAGGGGAUGACCUGUGGGGAGGAGUAAAAGUCUAAUCAUACUCGGAGAUAUCUCGUUCUCCUCGAAAUAGCUUUAGGGCUAGCCUCACGUUAUACCCUUUGGGGGUAGAGCUACUGGAUGGGGCUGGGGGGCCACAAGCCUACCCACCUCAACCAAACUCCGAAUACCAAAGGGCUCUAUCGUGGGAGUCAGUCUGCGGGAGAUAAUUUCCGCGGUCAAAAGGGAAACAGCCCAGACCGCCAAAUAAGGCCCCUAAACGAUUCUAAGUUACUAAGGUAGUUGGAUUGCCGUGACAGCCAGGAUGUUGGCUUAGAAGCAGCCACCAUUUAAAGAGUGCGUAACAGCUCACUGGUCGAGGAUCCUAGCGCCGAUAAUGAUCGGGAAUAAGACAUACACCGAAGCUGCGGACUUGUGCUUGCACAAGUGGUAGAGGAGCGUUCCUGUCAGCGUUGAAGCGAAACGGAUAACGUUUCGUGGAGCGGCAGGAAGUGAUUAUGCCGGCUUGAGUAACGAUAAAGCAGGUGAAAAUCCUGCUCGCCGAAAGCCUAAGGUUUCCUGGGGAAGGGAAAUCCGCCCAGGGUUAGUCGGAACCUAAGUCGAGGCCGAAAGGCGUAGACGAUGGACAGCAGGUUAAUAUUCCUGCACUAUGCGUGGCGGUUGAAGCACCGUGACGGAUUUCUUAACUUGACACCAUUAUUAGAAUGUGGAACGGGCGACUUCGUCCAGUCAGGAGCAGAAGUCCCAAGAAAAGCCGUGUGUGGACAAAACGCAUAUCCGUACUAAAACUGACACAGGUAGGUGAGGAGAGUAUCCUCAGGCGCUCGAGAGAACCGUUGUUAAGGAACUAGGCAAAUUGACCCCGUAACUUUGGGAUAAGGGGUCCCUACCAGAUGACUCGUUUAUUCGGAUCAUCUGGAGGGCGCAGAGAAUCGGCUCUGGCGACUGUUUAUCAAAAACACAGGACUCUGCUAACUCGCAAGAGGAUGUAUAGAGUCUGACACCUGCCCGGUGCCGGAAGGUCAAGGACGUAGGUUAUCCUUCGGGAGAAGCUUACAACUCAAGCCCCGGUAAACGGCGGCCGUAACUAUGACGGUCCUAUGGUAGCGAAGUUCCUUGUCGGGUAAGUUCCGACGUGCAUGAAUGGCGUAACGACUGGAGCACUGUCUCAACAACGGACUCGGUGAAAUUACAGACGCGGUGAAGAUGCCGCGUACCCGCGGAAAGACGGAAAGACCCCGUGAACCUUUACUGUAGCCUGGUAUUGGUGUUUUGUAUCACAUGCGUAGGAUAGGUGGGAGGCGUUGAUCUCCUGGUUUUGGCCAGGAAGGAGCCAUCCUUGAAAUACCACCCUUGUGCUAUAAGCCACCUAACCCCGACCCAUGAAUCUGGGCGGGGGACCGUGCUUGGUGGGCAGUUUGACUGGGGCGGUCUCCUCCUAAAGAGUAACGGAGGAGCCCAAAGGCAUCCUCAGUACGGUUGGCAAUCGUAUUUAGAGUGUAAAGGCAUAAGGAUGCUUAACUGCGAGACCUAUAAGUCGAGCAGAUGUGAAAGCAGGGCUUAGUGACCCGGUGGUCCCGUGUGGAAGGGCCAUCGCUUAACAGAUAAAAGGUACUCCGGGGAUAACAGGCUGAUC